AGAGUUUGAUCCUGGCUCAGGAUGAACGCUAGCGGCAGGCUUAAUACAUGCAAGUCGAGGGGCAGCACGGUAGCAAUACUGGUGGCGACCGGCGCACGGGUGCGUAACACGUAUACAAUCUGCCUUUAACAGGGGGAUAGCCCGGAGAAAUCCGGAUUAAUACCCCAUAACACAUGAAGUAGCAUUACUUUAUGUUGAAAGCUCCGGCGGUUAAAGAUGAGUAUGCGCCUGAUUAGCUAGUUGGUGAGGUAACGGCUCACCAAGGCGACGAUCAGUAGGGGAUCUGAGAGGAUUAACCCCCACACGGAUACUGAGACACGGAUCCGACUCCUACGGGAGGCAGCAGUAAGGAAUAUUGGACAAUGCCCGCAAGGGUGAUCCAGCCAUGCCGCGUGCAGGAAGACGGCCCUAUGGGUUGUAAACUGCUUUUACACCGGAGAAAACCUCCCCUCGUGAGGGGAGCUGAUAGUAUGGUGAGAAUAAGCAUCGGCUAACUUCGUGCCAGCAGCCGCGGUAAGACGAAGGAUGCAAGCGUUAUCCGGAUUCAUUGGGUUUAAAGGGAGCGUAGGCGGCCUUGUAAGUCAGUGGUGAAAUCUCUCGGCUUAACCGAGAAAUUGCCAUUGAUACUGCAGGGCUUGAGUACAGUUGCCGUUGGCGGAAUAUGACAUGUAGUGGUGAAAUACAUAGAGAUGUCAUAGAACACCGAUUGCGAAGGCAGCUAACGAAACUGUAACUGACGCUGAGGCUCGAAAGUGCGGGGAUCAAACAGGAUUAGAUACCCUAGUAGUCC
RNAcentral lists this ribosomal RNA (790 nucleotides) under uncultured bacterium. RNAcentral's name for it is "bacterial SSU rRNA". It matches the Rfam family "Bacterial small subunit ribosomal RNA", at positions 8 to 796 of the family's 1533-position model. The record is from RNAcentral.